This 673-nucleotide ribosomal RNA is filed under the name Stereum rugosum. RNAcentral's name for it is "eukaryotic LSU rRNA". It matches the Rfam family "Eukaryotic large subunit ribosomal RNA", at positions 87 to 741 of the family's 3401-position model. Lineage: Eukaryota; Fungi; Basidiomycota; Agaricomycetes; Russulales; Stereaceae. The record is from RNAcentral.
CUGCGAGUGAAGCGGGAAAAGCUCAAAUUUAAAAUCUGGCGGUCUUCUGGCCGUCCGAGUUGUAGUCUGGAGAAGCGUUUUCCGCGUUGGACCGUGUACAAGUUUCCUGGAACGGAGCGUCAUAGAGGGUGAGAAUCCCGUCUUUGACACGGACCCCAAUGCUUUGUGAUGCGCUCUCAAAGAGUCGAGUUGUUUGGGAAUGCAGCUCAAAAUGGGUGGUGAAUUCCAUCUAAAGCUAAAUAUUGGCGAGAGACCGAUAGCGAACAAGUACCGUGAGGGAAAGAUGAAAAGCACUUUGGAAAGAGAGUUAAACAGUACGUGAAAUUGUUGAAAGGGAAACGCUUGAAGUCAGUCGCGUCGUCCGGGACUCAGCCUUGCAUCCGCUUGGUGUACUUUCCGGUCGACGGGCCAGCAUCAGUUUUGACCGCGAGAUAAAGGCGGAGGGAAUGUGGCUCCCCGUUUGGGGAGUGUUAUAGCCCUUCGUCAGAUGUCGCGGUUGGGACUGAGGAACUCAGCACGCCUUUAUGGCCGGGGUUCGCCCACGUACGUGCUUAGGAUGCUGGCGUAAUGGCUUUAAACGACCCGUCUUGAAAACACGGACCAAGGAGUCUAACAUGCCUGCGAGUGUUUCGGGUGGAAAACCCGUGCGCGCAAUGAAAGUGAAAGUUGGGAU